RNAcentral lists this ribosomal RNA (497 nucleotides) under uncultured bacterium. RNAcentral describes it as "partial 16S ribosomal RNA". It matches the Rfam family "Bacterial small subunit ribosomal RNA", at positions 28 to 507 of the family's 1533-position model. The record is from RNAcentral.
GAUGAACGCUGGCGGCGUGCCUAAUACAUGCAAGUCGAGCGAACGGACGAGAAGCUUGCUUCUCUGAUGUUAGCGGCGGACGGGUGAGUAACACGUGGAUAACCUACCUAUAAGACUGGGAUAACUUCGGGAAACCGGAGCUAAUACCGGAUGAUAUUUUGAACCGCAUGGUUCAAAAGUGAAAGACGGUCUUGCUGUCACUUAUAGAUGGAUCCGCGCUGCAUUAGCUAGUUGGUAAGGUAACGGCUUACCAAGGCAACGAUGCAUAGCCGACCUGAGAGGGUGAUCGGCCACACGGGAACUGAGACACGGUCCAGACUCCUACGGGAGGCAGCAGUAGGGAAUCUUCCGCAAUGGGCGAAAGCCUGACGGAGCAAAGCCGCGUGAGUGAUGAAGGUCUUCGGAUCGUAAAACUCUGUUAUUAGGGAAGAACAUAUGUGUAAGUAACUGUGCACAUCUUGACGGUACCUAAUCAGAAAGCCACGGCUAACUACGUG